This 374-nucleotide ribosomal RNA is filed under the name uncultured bacterium. Its description in RNAcentral is "bacterial SSU rRNA". It matches the Rfam family "Bacterial small subunit ribosomal RNA", at positions 29 to 400 of the family's 1533-position model. The record is from RNAcentral.
AACGAACGCUGGCGGCGUGCUUAACACAUGCAAGUCGAGUGCGCGCCUGUAGCAAUACAGGUGGCGCACGGCGCACGGGUGCGUAACACGUGGGUAAUCUGCCCUCUGAUGGGGAAUAACUCGCCGAAAGGCGAGCUAAUUCCGCAUAACAUUCCGAAGACCUUGGUUUUUGGAUUCAAAGGCGUAAGUCGUCGGAGGAGGAGCCCGCGCACGAUUAGCUAGUUGGUGAGGUAAUGGCUCACCAAGGCUAUGAUCGUUAGCUGGUCUGAGAGGAUGGCCAGCCACACUGGAACUGAGACACGGUCCAGACUCCUACGGGAGGCAGCAGUGGGGAAUCUUGCACAAUGGGCGAAAGCCUGACGCAGCGAUGCCGC